UACGUAGGGGGCAAGCGUUGUCCGGAAUCAUUGGGCGUAAAGAGCGUGUAGGCGGCCCGAUAAGUCCGCUGUGAAAGUCGAGGGCUCAACCCUCGAAUGCCGGCGGAUACUGUCGGGCUAGAGUCCGGAAGAGGCGAGUGGAAUUCCUGGUGUAGCGGUGAAAUGCGCAGAUAUCAGGAGGAACACCGGUGGCGAAGGCGGGUCUCUGGGCCGAUACUGACGCUGAGGAGCGAAAGCGUGGGGAGCGAACAGG
This 253-nucleotide ribosomal RNA is filed under the name uncultured bacterium. RNAcentral describes it as "partial 16S ribosomal RNA". It matches the Rfam family "Bacterial small subunit ribosomal RNA", at positions 524 to 776 of the family's 1533-position model. The record is from RNAcentral.